This 370-nucleotide ribosomal RNA is filed under the name uncultured Rhodoferax sp. RNAcentral's name for it is "bacterial SSU rRNA". It matches the Rfam family "Bacterial small subunit ribosomal RNA", at positions 1006 to 1382 of the family's 1533-position model. Lineage: Bacteria; Pseudomonadati; Pseudomonadota; Betaproteobacteria; Burkholderiales; Comamonadaceae. The record is from RNAcentral.
UAGAGGGUGCUCGAAAGAGAGCCGUAACACAGGUGCUGCAUGGCUGUCGUCAGCUCGUGUCGUGAGAUGUUGGGUUAAGUCCCGCAACGAGCGCAACCCUUGUCAUUAGUUGCUACAUUCAGUUGGGCACUCUAAUGAGACUGCCGGUGACAAGCCGGAGGAAGUGGGAUGACGUCAAGUCCUCAUGGCCCUUAUAGGUGGGCUACACACGUCAUACAAUGGCUGGUACAAAGGGUUGCCAACCCGCGAGGGGAGCUAAUCCCAUAAAGCCAGUCGUAGUCCGGAUCGUAGUCUGCAACUCAACUACGUGAAGUCGGAAUCGCUAGUAAUCGUGGAUCAGAAUGUCACGGUGAAUACGUUCCCGGGUCUU